This 467-nucleotide ribosomal RNA is filed under the name uncultured bacterium. RNAcentral's name for it is "partial 16S ribosomal RNA". It matches the Rfam family "Bacterial small subunit ribosomal RNA", at positions 28 to 506 of the family's 1533-position model. The record is from RNAcentral.
GACGAACGCUGGCGGCGUGCUUAACACAUGCAAGUCGAACGGAAAGGCCCUGCCUUUGUGGGGUGCUCGAGUGGCGAACGGGUGAGUAACACGUGAGUAACCUGCCCUUGACUUUGGGAUAACUUCAGGAAACUGGGGCUAAUACCGGAUAGGAGCUCCUGCUGCAUGGUGGGGGUUGGAAAGUUUCGGCGGUUGGGGAUGGACUCGCGGCUUAUCAGCUUGUUGGUGGGGUAGUGGCUUACCAAGGCUUUGACGGGUAGCCGGCCUGAGAGGGUGACCGGCCACAUUGGGACUGAGAUACGGCCCAGACUUCUACGGGAGGCAGCAGUGGGGAAUAUUGCACAAUGGGCGGAAGCCUGAUGCAGCAACGCCGCGUGCGGGAUGACGGCCUUCGGGUUGUAAACCGCUUUCGCCUGUGACGAAGCGUGAGUGACGGUAAUGGGUAAAGAAGCACCGGCUAACUACGU